UAUCAGACAACCUCUUGAGUCAGAGGGCUGGCUGCACCUCGGUUCUUGUCAUGCUCUUAUAAAUGAAUUUAACAAUGGACUCCAGGUUUCAAGGUUCCUCUACCAGACAUUUUGAGCAACAGAAUAGAUUUCAAGAUCUGCUUUUUACUUUGUUGUGGCUUUUCCCAGAAUUUGUGAGAACAUCUGGCAAUUUUAUCUUGGCAAAUCCCAAGACUGCUGACUUUGUUCUGUGGGACUGUGGGGAGGCUUACUGACCAUAGAUGCUGUUUUCAGUAUCCUAGGUUCAAAUAAAAAAUAAAAAAAGAGU
Molecule: long non-coding RNA, 307 nt
Organism: Eptesicus fuscus (big brown bat)
Lineage: Eukaryota; Metazoa; Chordata; Mammalia; Chiroptera; Vespertilionidae
Exons: 3
Source: RefSeq, a predicted model, not a curated record